GACGAACGCUGGCGGCGUGCCUAAUACAUGCAAGUUGAGCGAUGAAGAUUGGUGCUUGCACCAAUUUGAAGAGCAGCGAACGGGUGAGUAACGCGUGGGGAAUCUGCCUUUGAGCGGGGGACAACAUUUGGAAACGAAUGCUAAUACCGCAUAACAACUUUAAACAUAAGUUUUAAGUUUGAAAGAUGCAAUUGCAUCACUCAAAGAUGAUCCCGCGUUGUAUUAGCUAGUUGGUGAGGUAAAGGCUCACCAAGGCGAUGAUACAUAGCCGACCUGAGAGGGUGAUCGGCCACAUUGAGACUGAGACACGGCCCAAACUCCUACGGGAGGCAGCAGUAGGGAAUCUUCGGCAAUGGACGAAAGGCUGACCGAGCAACGCCGCGUGAGUGAAGAAGGUUUUCGGAUCGUAAAACUCUGUUGGUAGAGAAGAACGUUGGUGAGAGUGGAAAGCUCAUCAAGUGACGGUAACUACCCAGAAAGGGACGGCUAACUACGUG
RNAcentral lists this ribosomal RNA (497 nucleotides) under uncultured bacterium. Its description in RNAcentral is "partial 16S ribosomal RNA". It matches the Rfam family "Bacterial small subunit ribosomal RNA", at positions 28 to 507 of the family's 1533-position model. The record is from RNAcentral.